This 361-nucleotide ribosomal RNA is filed under the name Achelia hispida. Its description in RNAcentral is "partial 12S ribosomal RNA". Lineage: Eukaryota; Metazoa; Arthropoda; Pycnogonida; Pantopoda; Ammotheidae. The record is from RNAcentral.
AAUUUUAUGUAAAUUAGUUUACUAAGGAAUUAACAGUUAAGAUCUUGAAAUUUAAAGAAUUUGGCGGUAGAUUAAUUUAUCUAGGGGAAUUUGUUAUUUAAUAGAUAUUACACUCCUUACCUUACCUUAAAUAUUAUAACUUAUAUAUCGCCGUUUAGAAUAUUUUUAUUGAAUUUAAUAUUCAUUAUAAUCCUUAAAAAUUAUUAAAUCAGGUCAAGAUGUAGUUUAUGUUAAGGAUUUAAAUGAAUUACAUUUCCAAGUAAGAAUUACGGAUAAAAGUUUGCAAAAUUAAACUUUGUAAAGGCGGACUUAGAAGUAAAAGUAAAUUAAUAUGUUAUUUUGAAUAUAUAACUCUAAUUUA